GCGGCGUGAUGUUCGCACGCUUUCUAUCCGGGGAAGAUGCUCCUCACAGGCAGCUCCCGCCUGUCAGCCUCGGGCGCGCGCGCUUUCGGGCUGGGCUGCGGCCUGGCACGGGCGCGCCAGGUAAACGGGCCGGUCCGUUCCUCUCCUUUUUUUUUCCUUUUUCUUUUCCCUUUUUCAUUUUUUUUCUGUUUUUCCUUUAUAACUUUUGAUUUUGAACUUCAAAUCAAUUCAAAUAAAUCCCAAAAAAUUUGUAAAAUCAUAUUGUAAUAUGAUUCAACUUUUGGGACGAAUUUAUGCUCAAAAUAAAAUAUUUAAAAAUAGUUUUGCUUAUAAGAUUGCCUUUAGGGCUUAAUAAAUAGUAAAACAAAAUAUUUUUUGUACCCAAAUUUAAACACCAAAAAUAUGGGAUAGCUUAGCAAUGCAAUAAACCCCUUUUAUGCUCAAAACCUUAUUGGUUUUAAAAUCCAAAACUCAAAUGGGUAAAAUGAAUAAGGUUUAAAAUUGAGGAAAACUCUGUUAAAUGCCUUU
This 528-nucleotide long non-coding RNA is filed under the name Brachypodium distachyon (stiff brome). RNAcentral describes it as "long non-coding RNA (BDIS_LNC003282)". Lineage: Eukaryota; Viridiplantae; Streptophyta; Magnoliopsida; Poales; Poaceae. The record is from RNAcentral.